RNAcentral lists this ribosomal RNA (1303 nucleotides) under metagenome. RNAcentral's name for it is "bacterial LSU rRNA". It matches the Rfam family "Bacterial large subunit ribosomal RNA", at positions 1604 to 2912 of the family's 2925-position model. The record is from RNAcentral.
GCUUCCAAGAAAAGCCCUAUACCCGUUAAGGCAUGAUGGCCUGUACCCGAAACCGACACAGGUGGGGUGGUAGAGAAUACCGAGGGGCGCGAGGUAACUCUCUCUAAGGAACUCGGCAAAAUGGCCCCGUAACUUCGGGAGAAGGGGUGCCACCGCAAGGUGGUCGCAGUGAAGAGGCCCAGGCGACUGUUUACCAAAAACACAGGUCUCCGCUAAGUCGCAAGACGAUGUAUGGGGGCUGACGCCUGCCCAGUGCCGGAAGGUUAAGGAAGCUGGUCAGCGCAAGCGAAGCUGGCGACUGAAGCCCCGGUGAACGGCGGCCGUAACUAUAACGGUCCUAAGGUAGCGAAAUUCCUUGUCGGGUAAGUUCCGACCCGCACGAAAGGCGUAACGAUCUGGGCGCUGUCUCGGAGAGAGGCUCGGCGAAAUAGAAUUGUCUGUGAAGAUGCGGACUACGUGCACCCGGACAGAAAGACCCUAUGAAGCUUUACUGUAGCUUGGUAUUGUGCCCGGGCUCUGAAUGCGCAGGAUAGGUGGGAGGCUUUGAUCCAUUGCUUGUGGGUAAUGGUGAGCCAACGGUGAGAUACCACUCUUUCAGAGCUAGGGUUCUAACGGUCACCCGUUAUCCGGGGACCGGACAGUAUCAGGUGGGCAGCUUGACUGGGGCGGUCGCCUCCUAAAAGGUAACGGAGGCGCGCAAAGGUUCCCUCAGGCUGGUUGGAAAUCAGCCGACGAGUGUAAAGGCAGAAGGGAGCUUGACUGUGAGACCUACAAGUCGAACAGGGACGAAAGUCGGCCUUAGUGAUCCGACGGUUCUGAGUGGAAGGGCCGUCGCUCAACGGAUAAAAGUUACUCUAGGAUAACAGGCUGAUCUCCCCCAAGAGUUCACAUCGACGGGGAGGUUUGGCACCUCGAUGUCGGCUCAUCGCAACCUGGGGCUGAAGUCGGUCCCAAGGGUUGGGCUGUUCGCCCAUUAAAGCGGUACGCGAGCUGGGUUCAGAACGUCGUGAGACAGUUCGGUCCAUAUCCGGUGCAUGCGCAGGAAUAUUGAGAGGAUUUCUCCCUAGUACGAGAGGACCGGGAGGAACGCACCUCUGGUGUGCCAGUUAUCGUGCCAACGGUAAACGCUGGGUAGCCAUGUGCGGAGAGGAUAACCGCUGAAAGCAUCUAAGUGGGAAGCCCACCUCAAGAUGAGUAUUCCCAUGGCGUUAGCCAGUAAGGUCACGGGCAGAACACCCGUUGAUAGGCUCUACGUGGAAGCCGGGCAACCAGUGAAGCGGAGGAGUACUAAUAGACCGAGGGC